UACGGGGGGGGCAAGCGUUGUUCGGAAUUACUGGGCGUAAAGGGCUUGUAGGCGGCCAACUAAGUCAGACGUGAAAUCCCUCGGCUUAACCGGGGAACUGCGUCUGAUACUGGAUGGCUUGAGAUUGGGAGAGGGAUGCGGAAUUCCAGGUGUAGCGGUGAAAUGCGUAGAUAUCUGGAGGAACACCGGUGGCGAAGGCGACAUCCUGGACCAACACUGACGCUGAGGAGCGAAAGCCAGGGGAGCAAACGGG
This 253-nucleotide ribosomal RNA is filed under the name uncultured bacterium. Its description in RNAcentral is "partial 16S ribosomal RNA". It matches the Rfam family "Bacterial small subunit ribosomal RNA", at positions 524 to 776 of the family's 1533-position model. The record is from RNAcentral.